GUCGUGAUGCCUGCAUUCAGAAAGGAAGCUGAUGCUUAGCUGAACUGGAUUAAAGCUUAACGUGGCCUGCGCCCACUGUGCUGUCCAAGGUCCCAGCUGCCACUGCCUCCUGUCCAGCACUCUGUCAGCUGUGUCACCACAGGGGUAUGGAGAAGUGGAGUUGCUUUUCUACCUUCGACCUCGGCGACCUGGGAGUCUCACCCUUUUAGGUGGCAGGAGAGAAGGAAAUAACUAAAUAUGCGACCAUCUUCCAUCCCACCCUGGACACAAAGGUGGCUCUAGACACUCGUGUCCUCGAAGAGAGUGGCUCAGGCUCUCGAGUCCACCUCUGCCCACUGGUCCCCUGGGGAUGGUGGCCGAGUGUGUGGUGCAGGGGGUGCUUGUUGCCUGCACCCACACUGAAGUGGACUGAGGUGGACUCUCUGAGUGGCCUGAGUCCCGCCCUGGCCCCAGCUGCCCCGUAGCUGCUGUCCUCUCUGGACAGCUGGACACCUGUGUGUUUUAUUGGUCUCUUCUCCUAACAUCACAAGCUGACAAGCAUGUCACCCGGGUGUCCUCAGCUCGGCGGCUCCUCUUCAGUGAUGUGAACUGGCUCUGGAUCUCUGACCCAGGCACCCCACUUGGACCUGGUGGGAGGUAAGCCUGUGCCCUGUGGGUCCCAAGGCAGUGCCUGGCCUCUGGCUGGCACCAAGGAGCCUCUUGACUGGACAGCACCCUGCCCGACUGCCUGUCUGCCUGCUCACACUGCCGUGUCUUACGCCUGAGUCACCUCUGAUUCCAUGUGCCUGGGAGGAUGCCUGCCACCGUGCCUAGGAGAUGGUCCUGACACUGAGCUACAGGGUGAAUCCCUGACACGGGACUGCAUCAUGUCGAACUGGUAGCUGGAUGCCGAGGACUUGUUUCCAAGGUCAUUGCUGGUCACCUGCGGUAGUUUGGACACAGUUUUCCCCAAGACCAUGUGUUUCCAAUCUGUGGGGCUCUGGGAAGGUGGUGGAGCCUCUGGGAGCUGGGGCCUCACGGGAGGAAGUGAGGUCAUUGUGGGCGUGGCCUUGAAGGGGGUGUUGGGACCGCAGAUCCUCCCUGCUUCUUUCUUUGCAUCUGGGCUGCUAUGAGGUGAACAGUCCUCCUCUGGCCCCUUUUCCCACCGUGAUGUAUGGUGCCACCACAGACCCACAGGAAUUGGACCAAGCAACCAUGGACUGAAGCCUCUGAGACUUGUCGGAAUGGCAUCCGCUGCUGGAGAGAGGGAGGCACACACCACCCUGCCCUGCGCUGACGAAGAGCUACCUGGGCCUCGAGGCCAUCAGUCUGUUGCUGAGCUGGAAAACCUGGCUGGAGAGGCUUGGGACAUCUGCCAGAUGCCCGCAGAGCUGGGAGGAGUUGGCAUUGGGCAGCAUCCAGCCCCAGAAAGGGAUGGACUGAGCCAGGCAGAUUCAGAACGGAGGCUCCGCCAGGCGCCACACCUGGAGUACAGAUGGCCGUGCUGAGCAAUGGUUCCCGGUUUCUCUCUCCCCAUCGCCACCACCAAGCCACCUACUGGAAAUUAAUCCAGUGAAUAAUGAUGCAUUGAGAUCACUAAAA
RNA transcript from Heterocephalus glaber (naked mole-rat), 1581 nucleotides. It is a transcript of the gene named Bardet-Biedl syndrome 9, with no coding region annotated. Lineage: Eukaryota; Metazoa; Chordata; Mammalia; Rodentia; Bathyergidae. The record is from RefSeq and is a predicted model, not a curated record.